RNAcentral lists this ribosomal RNA (253 nucleotides) under uncultured bacterium. RNAcentral describes it as "partial 16S ribosomal RNA". It matches the Rfam family "Bacterial small subunit ribosomal RNA", at positions 524 to 776 of the family's 1533-position model. The record is from RNAcentral.
UACGGAGGGUGCGAGCGUUGUCCGGAAUCAUUGGGCGUAAAGGGCGCGUAGGUGGCGGGACAAGCGUGCGGUGAAAGCCUGGGGCUCAACCCCGGGUCGGCCGUGCGAACUGUUUUGCUUGAGCACUGUAGAGGCAGGCGGAAUUCCGGGUGUAGCGGUGGAAUGCGUAGAGAUCCGGAAGAACACCGGUGGCGAAGGCGGGUCUCUGGGCAACAACUGACGCUGAGGAGCGAAAGCGUGGGGAGCGAACAGG